AAAUAAGAAACAAACUAUUGUAUUUAGUUUCGACCUAAAAUUCUGAUGAAAUCAUCCUUAUUUU
Molecule: transfer RNA, 64 nt
Filed under: Lucanus chengyuani
Lineage: Eukaryota; Metazoa; Arthropoda; Insecta; Coleoptera; Lucanidae
Description: tRNA-Arg
Source: RNAcentral